GCCUUGCCACGCCGGCUAGGCACGAAGAGUGAGAAUUCGUAAUCAGCAGGUCAGCAGUUCGAAUCUGCUCGUCGGCUCCA
This 80-nucleotide transfer RNA is filed under the name Acidobacteriota bacterium. RNAcentral describes it as "tRNA-OTHER". The record is from RNAcentral. Lineage: Bacteria; Pseudomonadati; Acidobacteriota.